This 479-nucleotide ribosomal RNA is filed under the name Olavius tenuissimus. Its description in RNAcentral is "partial 16S ribosomal RNA". It matches the Rfam family "Bacterial large subunit ribosomal RNA", at positions 1884 to 2597 of the family's 2925-position model. The record is from RNAcentral. Lineage: Eukaryota; Metazoa; Annelida; Clitellata; Tubificida; Naididae.
UAGAAGAAAUUAAUCUCUANUACCUUCUGCUCAAUGUAAGAAUAAAUUGCCGCAGACUAAUAUCUGUGCUAAGGUAGCAUAAUCACUUGUCUACUAAUUAUAGACUCGAAUGAAUGAAAAAAUGAAAUUUUAACUGUCUCAUAAAGUAUACUAUAACUUUAUUUAAAGGUGAAAAAGCCUUUAUUGAAACACAAGACAAGAAGACCCUAAAAACUUAAAUUAAUACCAUAAAGUAACUGCUAUAAAAUUUAGUUGGGGCGACUUAUAUUCAAAAAUCAAUCUAUAAUAAAAGGCCUACUAACCAAAUCAACUAAUAAGACCUAUAGGCAUAACAUAAGAAUCAAGCUACUUUAGGGAUAACAGACUAAUUUUCUUCAAAAGUCCAUAUUUAAAAAAAAGAUUAGCACCUCGAUGUUGGCUUAUAUUUAAAAUUCCAGAGCAAAAACCGGAACUUAGGUUUGUUCAACCUAUAAUCUAUU